CGGGACGGGUGAGUAAUGUCUGGGAAACUGCCUGAUGGAGGGGGAUAACUACUGGAAACGGUAGCUAAUACCGCAUAACGUCGCAAGACAAAGAGGGGGACCUUCGGGCCUCUUGCCAUCGGAUGUGCCCAGAUGGGAUUAGCUAGUAGGUGGGGUAACGGCUCACCUAGGCGACGAUCCCUAGCUGGUCUGAGAGGAUGACCAGCCACACUGGAACUGAGACACGGUCCAG
RNAcentral lists this ribosomal RNA (232 nucleotides) under uncultured bacterium. RNAcentral describes it as "partial 16S ribosomal RNA". It matches the Rfam family "Bacterial small subunit ribosomal RNA", at positions 100 to 334 of the family's 1533-position model. The record is from RNAcentral.